Molecule: ribosomal RNA, 450 nt
Filed under: uncultured bacterium
Lineage: Bacteria
Description: partial 16S ribosomal RNA
Rfam family: Bacterial small subunit ribosomal RNA
Source: RNAcentral
GUGGGGAAUAUUGGACAAUGGGCGAAAGCCUGAUCCAGCCAUGCCGCGUGUGUGAAGAAGGUCUUCGGAUUGUAAAGCACUUUAAGUUGGGAGGAAGGGUAGUAACCUAAUACGUUGCUACUUUGACGUUACCGACAGAAUAAGCACCGGCUAACUUCGUGCCAGCAGCCGCGGUAAUACGAAGGGUGCAAGCGUUAAUCGGAAUUACUGGGCGUAAAGCGCGCGUAGGUGGUUCAGUAAGUUGGAAGUGAAAUCCCCGGGCUCAACCUGGGAACUGCUUUCAAAACUGCAUGACUAGAGUACGGUAGAGGGUAGUGGAAUUUCCUGUGUAGCGGUGAAAUGCGUAGAUAUAGGAAGGAACACCAGUGGCGAAGGCGACUACCUGGACUGAUACUGACACUGAGGUGCGAAAGCGUGGGGAGCAAACAGGAUUAGAAACCCGUGUAGUCC